RNAcentral lists this small RNA (163 nucleotides) under Marmota monax (woodchuck). The record is from RNAcentral. Lineage: Eukaryota; Metazoa; Chordata; Mammalia; Rodentia; Sciuridae.
GGCAGCUCUGGAAAUAGAUUUUUUCGACUCCUGAGGGUUUAUUUUGUUAAUGCUUAUUGUAAGUUGCCUUUUAAAAUUUAAAUGUUAUUUAAUUAAUUUGGUGUGUGUGUGUGUGUGUGUGUAUGUGUUUCUGAGGACUAAACUCAAACCCUCACAGAUGCCA